CUGCAUGGCUGUCGUCAGCUCGUGUCGUGAGAUGUUGGGUUAAGUCCCCGCAACGAGCGCAACCCUUGUCAUUAGUUGCUACGAAAGGGCACUCUAAUGAGACUGCCGGUGACAAACCGGAGGAAGGUGGGGAUGACGUCAAGUCCUCAUGGCCCUUAUGGGUAGGGCUUCACACGUCAUACAAUGGUCGGGACAGAGGGUCGCCAACCCGCGAGGGGGAGCCAAUCCCAGAAACCCGAUCGUAGUCCGGAUCGCAGUCUGCAACCCGACUGCGUGAAGUCGGAAUCGCUAGUAAUCGCGGAUCAGCAUGUCGCGGUGAAUACGUUCCCGGGUCUUGUACACACCGCCCGUCACACCAUGGGAGUGGGUUUUACCAGAAGUAGUUAGCCUAACCGCAAGG
This 400-nucleotide ribosomal RNA is filed under the name uncultured beta proteobacterium. RNAcentral's name for it is "bacterial SSU rRNA". It matches the Rfam family "Bacterial small subunit ribosomal RNA", at positions 1041 to 1446 of the family's 1533-position model. Lineage: Bacteria; Pseudomonadati; Pseudomonadota; Betaproteobacteria. The record is from RNAcentral.